UACAGGGGGGGCAAGCGUUGUUCGGAAUUACUGGGCGUAAAGGGCGAGUAGGCGGCCAACUAAGUCCGACGUGAAAUCCCCAGGCUUAACCUGGGAACUGCGUCGGAUACUGGAUGGCUUGAAUUCGGGAGAGGGAUGCGGAAUUCCAGGUGUAGCGGUGAAAUGCGUAGAUAUCUGGAGGAACACCGGUGGCGAAGGCGGCAUCCUGGACCAAUAUUGACGCUGAGGAGCGAAAGCUAGGGGAGCAAACGGG
RNAcentral lists this ribosomal RNA (253 nucleotides) under uncultured bacterium. RNAcentral describes it as "partial 16S ribosomal RNA". It matches the Rfam family "Bacterial small subunit ribosomal RNA", at positions 524 to 776 of the family's 1533-position model. The record is from RNAcentral.